This 466-nucleotide ribosomal RNA is filed under the name uncultured bacterium. Its description in RNAcentral is "partial 16S ribosomal RNA". It matches the Rfam family "Bacterial small subunit ribosomal RNA", at positions 28 to 507 of the family's 1533-position model. The record is from RNAcentral.
GAUGAACGCUGGCGGCGUGCUUAACACAUGCAAGUCGAACGGAAAGGCCACAGCUUGCUGUGGUACUCGAGUGGCGAACGGGUGAGUAACACGUGGGUGAUCUGCCCUGUACUUCGGGAUAAGCUUGGGAAACUGGGUCUAAUACCGGAUAGGAAUCACAUGUGGGUGUGUGGUUGGAAAGCUUUUGCGGUAUGGGAUGAGCUCGCGGCCUAUCAGCUUGUUGGUGGGGUAAUGGCCUACCAAGGCGUCGACGGGUAGCCGGCCUGAGAGGGUGUACGGCCACAUUGGGACUGAGAUACGGCCCAGACUCCUACGGGAGGCAGCAGUGGGGAAUAUUGCACAAUGGGCGCAAGCCUGAUGCAGCGACGCCGCAUGGGGGAUGACGGCCUUCGGGUUGUAAACUCCUUUCGUCAGGGACGAAGCGAAAGUGACGGUACCUGGAUAAGAAGCACCGGCUAACUACGUG